This 253-nucleotide ribosomal RNA is filed under the name uncultured bacterium. Its description in RNAcentral is "partial 16S ribosomal RNA". It matches the Rfam family "Bacterial small subunit ribosomal RNA", at positions 524 to 776 of the family's 1533-position model. The record is from RNAcentral.
UACGUAGGGGGCAAGCGUUGUCCGGAAUCAUUGGGCGUAAAGAGCGUGUAGGCGGUUCGGUAAGUCCGCUGUAAAAGUCCAGGGCUCAACCCUGGAAAGCCGGUGGAUACUGUCGGGCUAGAGUCCGGAAGAGGCGAGUGGAAUUCCUGGUGUAGCGGUGGAAUGCGCAGAUAUCAGGAGGAACACCGAUGGCGAAGGCAGCUCGCUGGGACGGUACUGACGCUGAGGCGCGAAAGCGUGGGGAGCGAACAGG